GAUGAACGCUGGCGGCGUGCCUAAUACAUGCAAGUCGAGCGAACGGACGAGAAGCUUGCUUCUCUGAUGUUAGCGGCGGACGGGUGAGUAACACGUGGAUAACCUACCUAUAAGACUGGGAUAACUUCGGGAAACCGGAGCUAAUACCGGAUAAUAUCUUGAACCGCAUGGUUCAAAAGUGAAAGACGGUCUUGCUGUCACUUAUAGAUGGAUCCGCGCUGCAUUAGCUAGUUGGUAAGGUAACGGCUUACCAAGGCAACGAUGCAUAGCCGACCUGAGAGGGUGGUCGGCCACACUGGAACUGAGACACGGUCCAGACUCCGACGGGAGGCAGCAGUAGGGAAUCUUCCGCAAUGGGCGAAAGCCUGACGGAGCAACGCCGCGUGAGUGAUGAAGGUCUUCGGAUCGUAAAACUCUGUUAUUUGGGAAGAACAUAUGUGUAAGUAACUGUGCACAUCUUGACGGUACCUAAUCAGAAAGCCACGGCUAACUACGUG
Molecule: ribosomal RNA, 497 nt
Filed under: uncultured bacterium
Lineage: Bacteria
Description: partial 16S ribosomal RNA
Rfam family: Bacterial small subunit ribosomal RNA
Source: RNAcentral